UAUAUAUUUCUGCAAAAUAUGCACAUUUUCUUCUAAUGGGUGACCUUAAAAUUCGAUAAAUGAACCAAACAAUAUCGACCUAAUUUUAGCGCAUAUCGCAUGACGUCAUUUAAAAAGUAGUCCGUGCACGCGAUAGGUAUAUUCCACAGUGUUGAAUACAAGCAAGUAUAUUCCACAACGUGUUAUACCGUCAAUGUCGCGGUGAAAAUGGGAUAAAAACAUUUGUCUGAUAAGAUCCCGAGAGUUGCUUGCUAGAGCAACACAGAUAUUUGAAACUGUUAAACGUCCUUUGGAGGGGUCACUAGCUUGGUGACGGCCAAGAAGCGGUUCUCGCAGUCGUCUAAUGCAGCAGCAAGCAGGUGGCGAGGGUUCUCUCCACACCUGACGACCACAUCGUGCCACGCAUUCAGCAUGACAAAUAUCUGAUCAUCCAUCUGCAGAAUACAUCAACACGCAAAUUCAAAUAAUGAUGAGUGAUGAUAUGGCUGUUGCAUUAUCUUUUACUUAAUUAGAAGGUAGAAGUCAUUUACAUUUUUGGAACAUACAUGAUGCAUGUACCGGUAGAUGCAUAAAAAGAGAGAGCAUAAAAAGAAAACAACAGACAUAAGUUUUAAAUUCAUUUUUUACAACUAAAAUAAAGUAUUUAAAAUGUCUUACAUUGUGAUAAGCAU
Long non-coding RNA from Dreissena polymorpha, 671 nucleotides. RefSeq lists it as uncharacterized. The transcript is spliced from 2 exons. Lineage: Eukaryota; Metazoa; Mollusca; Bivalvia; Myida; Dreissenidae. The record is from RefSeq and is a predicted model, not a curated record.